UGCCCGGUAGUGUAAUUGGUAGCACACGAGAAUUUGGGUCUCGCUGUUCUGGUUCGAGUCCAGACCGGGCAG
This 72-nucleotide transfer RNA is filed under the name Candidatus Omnitrophota bacterium. RNAcentral describes it as "tRNA-Gln". It matches the Rfam family "tRNA". From Rfam's summary of the family: Transfer RNA (tRNA) molecules are approximately 80 nucleotides in length. Their secondary structure includes four short double-helical elements and three loops (D, anti-codon, and T loops). Lineage: Bacteria; Pseudomonadati; Candidatus Omnitrophota. The record is from RNAcentral.